UACGGAGGAUGCAAGCGUUAUCCGGAAUUAUUGGGCGUAAAGCGUCCGCAGGUGGUGGUUCAAGUCUGCUGUUAAAGCGUGGAGCUUAACUCCAUACAGGCAGUGGAAACUGAAUGACUAGAGUUCGGUAGGGGUAGCGGGAAUUCCCAGUGUAGCGGUGAAAUGCGUAGAUAUUGGGAAGAACACCGGCGGCGAAAGCGCGCUACUGGGCCGAGACUGACACUGAGGGACGAAAGCUAGGGGAGCGAAAGGG
Molecule: ribosomal RNA, 253 nt
Filed under: uncultured bacterium
Lineage: Bacteria
Description: partial 16S ribosomal RNA
Rfam family: Bacterial small subunit ribosomal RNA
Source: RNAcentral